Molecule: non-coding RNA, 87 nt
Filed under: Pseudomonas helmanticensis
Lineage: Bacteria; Pseudomonadati; Pseudomonadota; Gammaproteobacteria; Pseudomonadales; Pseudomonadaceae
Source: RNAcentral
CUUAAUGGUGGCUGUGCGCAUGGCACCUUCGGGUGCGCCGGGGUGGGAUGCGACCGGUCCGCUAACUUGCGCACAGCUGCCUCCCUU